Molecule: Y RNA, 97 nt
Filed under: Carlito syrichta (Philippine tarsier)
Lineage: Eukaryota; Metazoa; Chordata; Mammalia; Primates; Tarsiidae
Description: Y RNA (ENSTSYG00000027833.1)
Rfam family: Y RNA
About the family: Y RNAs are components of the Ro ribonucleoprotein particle (Ro RNP), in association with Ro60 and La proteins. The Y RNAs and Ro60 and La proteins are well conserved, but the function of the Ro RNP is not known.
Source: RNAcentral
GGCUGGUCCUAUGGUAGUGGGUUAUCAGAACUUAUUAACAACUAGUGUCACUAAAGUUGGGAUAUAACCCACCACUGCUAAAUUUCACUGGCUAAAA